Molecule: ribosomal RNA, 1015 nt
Filed under: Dactylobiotus ambiguus
Lineage: Eukaryota; Metazoa; Tardigrada; Eutardigrada; Parachela; Murrayidae
Description: SSU rRNA
Rfam family: Eukaryotic small subunit ribosomal RNA
Source: RNAcentral
AAACCGCGAAUGGCUCAUUAAAUCAGUUAUGGUUCACUAGAUCGUACAGUUUACACGGAUAACUGUGGUAAUUCUAGAGCUAAUACGUGCAAUCAGCUUGCUCUCUCGGGAGCAAGCGCAGUUAUUAGAAUAAAAACCAAUCCGGCCCUUGGGUCGGUACAAUUGGUGACUCUGAAUAACCGAAGCGGAGCGCAUGGUCUCGUACCGGCGCCAGAUCUUUCAAGUGUCUGACUUAUCAGCUUGUUGUUAGGUUAUGUUCCUAACAAGGCUUCAACGGGUAACGGGGUAUCAGGGUCCGAUACCGGAGAGGGAGCCUGAGAAACGGCUACCACAUCCAAGGAAGGCAGCAGGCGCGCAAAUUACCCACUCCCGGCACGGGGAGGUAGUGACGAAAAAUAACGAUGCGAGAGCUCUAAGCUCCUCGUAAUCGGAAUGGGUACACUUUAAAUCCUUUAACGAGGAUCUAUUGGAGGGCAAGUCUGGUGCCAGCAGCCGCGGUAAUUCCAGCUCCAAUAGCGUAUAUUAAAGUUGCUGCGGUUAAAAAGCUCGUAGUUGGAUCUGGGUAGCUGGAUGGAUGGUGUGCCUUGCGGUAUUACUGUCUGUUCGGCACCACAAGCCGGCCAUGUCUUGUAUGCCCUUCACUGGGUGUACUUGGCGACCGGAACGUUUACUUUGAAAAAAUUAGAGUGCUCAAAGCAGGCGUACGGCCUUGCAUAAUGGUGCAUGGAAUAAUGGAAUAGGAUCUCGGAUUCUUUUUUGUUGGUUUUCGGAACUCGAGGUAAUGAUUAAUAGGAAUAGACGGGGGCAUUCGUAUUGCGGCGUUAGAGGUGAAAUUCUUGGAUCGUCGCAAGACGAACUACUGCGAAAGCAUUUGCCAAGAAUGUUUUCAUUAAUCAAGAACGAGAGUUAGAGGUUCGAAGGCGAUCAGAUACCGCCCUAGUUCUAACCAUAAACGAUGCCAACCAGCGAUCCGUCGGUGUUUUUAUCAUGACUCGACGGGCAGCUUCCGGGAAAC